This is a long non-coding RNA of Oreochromis aureus, 537 nucleotides long. RefSeq lists it as uncharacterized. The record is from RefSeq and is a predicted model, not a curated record. Lineage: Eukaryota; Metazoa; Chordata; Actinopteri; Cichliformes; Cichlidae. The transcript is spliced from 3 exons.
CAGUACUACAACUACUCCAACUACAACAACUACCACCAGUACUCCAAUUACUACACCUACAUCAACUACACCCAGUGAACCAUCUGAUGUUACAGUUCUCAAAUUGAAGAUGACCUCUUUGGUGGACUUGUCUAAAAUUGAUAGAGAUACAUUCCUUACACAGAUAAAAAAUGCGCUGAUAUCCAAAGGGCUGCCCCAACAGACGGUCAUCCGACUCAUAAACAGCAAACCACAGAUUGGUGCAACUGUAGCGCCUUGUGCUGGCACAACAUAAACAUUUGACAGCAUCGAGAGCUUUUUCCUUUCAGCUGUUGAAUGAAAAGUUUUGGCUUCACUGUUCUUUAACACACAUUUUUAAUAAUUACGUUCACUUCUCAAGAGCAGCCUUUAAAAGCAACACAUUAGUCUGACUCUCCAGUGCUAUAAUCUGAAAUGAAUUAAUUUGUACUUUCGUUAGAUUGUGAAGAUUAAAUGUUAUUUUGCACUGAGUAUCCUUAGUCUAGUCAGUCCUUUCGUGUUGGUGGAAAAAUGCACCAU